UGGUUGCUGUCGCUGGUUGCUGUC
RNAcentral lists this non-coding RNA (24 nucleotides) under Arabidopsis thaliana (thale cress). The record is from RNAcentral. Lineage: Eukaryota; Viridiplantae; Streptophyta; Magnoliopsida; Brassicales; Brassicaceae.